AGCGGCGGACGGGUGAGUAACGCGUGGGUAACCUGCCUCAUACAGGGGGAUAACAGUUGGAAACGGCUGCUAAUACCGCAUAAGCGCACAGUACCGCAUGGUACCGUGUGAAAAACUCCGGUGGUAUGAGAUGGACCCGCGUCUGAUUAGCUAGUUGGUGGGGUAACGGCCUACCAAGGCGACGAUCAGUAGCCGACCUGAGAGGGUGACCGGCCACAUUGGGGCUGAGACACGGCCCAA
RNAcentral lists this ribosomal RNA (240 nucleotides) under uncultured bacterium. RNAcentral's name for it is "partial 16S ribosomal RNA". It matches the Rfam family "Bacterial small subunit ribosomal RNA", at positions 94 to 334 of the family's 1533-position model. The record is from RNAcentral.